This is a long non-coding RNA of Drosophila erecta, 937 nucleotides long. RefSeq lists it as uncharacterized. The record is from RefSeq and is a predicted model, not a curated record. NCBI's taxonomy places the organism in Eukaryota, Metazoa, Arthropoda, Insecta, Diptera, Drosophilidae. The transcript is spliced from 3 exons.
AGAAAAAGUAAAAACAAAGUCAAACCAGUCAUUUUCAAAAACCUACGCAAUCGCAUAGUUUAUUUCGCCGAGCCCGUCAAAAAGAGGAGCAACAGCGGGCCGAGUAAGCCAGUUUCUGUCAAAAAAAAACCCAUAGCGGCGAAAGUCCCGACAAACAGAAAGCAUUAAACUCAUUAGUGUAGAGGACAACCUGUCUGAUUCGAGCGAAGUUAUUUGAAACAAACCGAAUAAUUGUUUGAUGAAAAUCUGAAACGCGAUCAACAUGUUGUUUUACCGAUUGUUAUUUGAAGUUUUGUUGAAUUGUUGAUUGUUUUGUUGAAGUUUCCAUUCGUUAUCACGGGCACAGGUCGAUUGCCCUUUGAACCUGUUUGUGCCACCGACUGAAACAAAAUGCCACCAUUCGGGACAAAGGAGCAGCGGCAGGUUCUAAGGACUCAAAAGAACAGCGAACUCUCAAUUUGAAAUCGAACCAAUUAGUUGUCCUUUGUGCUGGCACCUUUGUCGCCUGAAUUUCGCAAACAUCGCUUCAUUUUUCCCAUGGCCCAUGGCUCAUGGUCCAUUUGCCAUGGCUUCACCCAAGAUUGCCACUGUUUUUCCGUGGCCAAGGCGAGUCCUGUUUCGGAGUCGAGGUCCUUUUCGAUGUUACUUUUGAACCGUGGAAGGAGCACAGCAGGGCGUGCGGUGCGAAGAUCAGAGGAGCGGCCCGCCGCGGGGCGCCCUCAACUGAUGAUCAUUUCGACACCCCAUUUUUGCGGCGUUCUCUUUUCUUUUUGCUCCUCCGGUUCCCUUUGGCCCGCUCCCUUCGCCAUGCACCGCGAGAAAAACGACGCAUAUACGGAACACAAUUGAAAUUGAUAUGCUUUCAGUUGCUCCAAAUUGAUUACCAAGUUUUGAACAUAGAAAAUUUUGUCGUUUUUAGUUGAAAAAAUUGUUAAUU